RNAcentral lists this unclassified non-coding RNA (413 nucleotides) under soil metagenome. RNAcentral's name for it is "partial contains 5.8S ribosomal RNA, internal transcribed spacer 2, and large subunit ribosomal RNA". The stretch from base 1 to 120 matches the Rfam family "5.8S ribosomal RNA", at positions 35 to 154 of the family's 154-position model. The record is from RNAcentral.
GAUGAAGAACGCAGUGAAAUGCGAUAAGUAAUGUGAAUUGCAGAAUUCAGUGAAUCAUCGAAUCUUUGAACGCACCUUGCGCUCUUUGGUAUUCCGAAGAGCAUGCCUGUUUGAGUGUCAUGAAAAUAUCAACCUUGACUUGGGUUUUGUGCUCUAGUCUCGGCUUGGAAUUGGGUGCUUGCCGCUUUAACGAGCGGCUCACCUUAAAUGUAUUAGCUGGAUCUGUCUUUGAGACUUGGUUUGACUUGGCGUAAUAAGUAUUUCGCUAAGGACAUUCUUCGGAGUGGCCUCGUUUCUAGGACGCUUGUCCGCUUUCCAAUACAAGUUCCACCUCGUGGACAUGACUUUUUAUUAUCUGGCCUCAAAUCAGGUAGGACUACCCGCUGAACUUAAGCAUAUCAAUAAGCGGAGGA